Molecule: long non-coding RNA, 8937 nt
Filed under: Nicotiana benthamiana
Lineage: Eukaryota; Viridiplantae; Streptophyta; Magnoliopsida; Solanales; Solanaceae
Description: long non-coding RNA (NBEN_LNC027896)
Source: RNAcentral
GACCCCUUUCUUUCUCUUUUCUUUCUUCUUUAGCCACCCCGUCUACCCCCGCCCCUCCGUCCCUCGUGCCUCCACCGUCCCCUCCGAUACGUCUCUCUCCCUCUGCCCUUCCUCUGUCCAUCAUAUUUACAUAGUGAUGUUCUUCUUUCAAGUUUUUAGUGAAUCAACCGCGAUUCCACCUUCUCCAACGCAAUUACUUUUUCUUCUCCAACAUUUUUCUAGCUUGGUAAGCAAUUUAUUUGUGAGAUUUCUUCCUUUGAUUUUGAAGUUUUAGCCUGUUUAGAAUUUCAUUAUUUGAUUUUUAGGCAAAUUGAGAAAUUUGAUUUGUAGGGUUUGUUUUAAUUGUUGUUGUGCAAGAUUGUGGUUGAUAUUUGAGUUUCAUUUGAUAAGUUUCGGCUUGAGUUGGAUCGAACAAGCAAAAAAAUUGCAAAUUCCAGAUUAGUUCUCUAAAGUUGAAAUUGAAUAUAGAGUCAAUCUUUUUAAUCUUUAAUGUUGAGUUAUUGUUUUUUUCUUGUUUAAUUGGAUUUGAUGCACACUAGAAGUGUAGAUGAUGAGCACAUUUAUUGUGUAUAAGUAAUUUCUCAUGUCUGCUUUUUGAUUAGAUGACAAUUUUAAUUCUUUAUUAGAAGGUAUUCACAUAUGUUAAUUAAAUGGUUCAAUCUUUAUUGUCAAACUUAAUUACUUCUUGACAUGUUUGAAAAUAAUCGUGAUUACCUCAAUUGUAUAAGAACAAAGUGACAAUCUUUCUUAAAAUCCAUUAGUACUUGUAAAUACAAAGAGCUUAUACUAAGAUGGUAGCUUAAGUAAUAGAAAUUCAAAUACAUCUUAUACUAAGGCUAAAAGCGCCACACUUUUUUAGUCUUUUUGUUUUCAUUUCUUAAAAAAUAUUAGCGAUGUGUACAGGGAUUUUAUGAAUAUGUACCAAGCUAUUCAAAUUUAAUUGGUAUAUUCAAAGACUUAUAUUUUAGAAUAGGGAUUAAUGUGAGAGUUUGAGUGUUAGAUAAUUUUUUAAUUUAGAAGAAUAUAACGUAUAAUUAUAGUGCUUUGGGAUGAUGAUAACUAUAUUUUUAAAAGGAACCUUUGAAAGAAUAUAACUUACUAAUUAGUUCAAAUAAACUAAAUUAUUUUAAAUAUCUCAAUUCUAAUUUUCUCUUUGUGUUAGAGUACUGUAAUUUAGAUAUAAUAUAUUAAUUAAAGUAUAUUGUCAAAUAAUAAGUAAAUUUUAAAGAGGAACCUUAGAAUUGGCGUAAUCUAUUAAUUAUUUUAAAUAAAUUAAAUGAUUUUUUAUAUAUAUUAUAAAUUUCAAGUUUUUUUGUUUGUUAGAUGGAAUUUGAGCAUCAUAAAUGAAUGUAUAAUAGGAACCAUUCGGAUCAUAUAGGAUUGCGGAAUGAAUUUAUAGAAGAGGUUGCUAGCUUUAUUGCUAAGGCAAAGACACUUGAUAAUUUUCUAAUUAAAGGGAUGAUUAGGUGGCCCUGUGUAAAAUGUAAAUGUCUUAAGUUAUUGAGACAUGAUAUUAUUACUCUACAUUUGUAUGAGAAGGGGUUUAUGAAAAAUUAUUAUGUGUGGAUUGUACAUGGGAAGAGUCAUGCUAGUAUAUGAAGUUCAUUUUCAGAACUCAUCUGGUGGUGAAGAAGGUAAUCCCAUAGCAGUGCAUAUUACUAUUGAAAAUUCUAGAUUUAAUGAAAUUAUGAGGGAUGCUUUGGAGAUGUUCUCUGGAGUUCAAUCCGAACAAACAGAUGAGGUUGAGAGCUUCUUCAAACAGUUAGAGGAAGCUAGUUGUCUAUUUUAUGAAGGUGCAUCACAUUCCAAGUUGUUUGUUGAAGUUAGGUUACUAAGUAUUAAAUCGGAUAAGUUUAUUUCUAAGCAUACAUGGAUUCUAUCAUUGGCCUUAUGAAUGUACUUAAUCUAACCAAAAUUUCUUGCCUAAAGAUAUUUACACGAAAAAGAAAUUGGUUUUCACUUUGGGUCUUUCAUCGGGGAGAAUUGAUUAUUGUGAUAAAGAUUGUAUGUUAUUCUGUAAGGAUGAUGCAACUUUAGGAAAUUGUAAAUUUUGUAACCAACAACAUUACAAAGAAGUCGUAAAUGCUAAACAGAAGAAGGUUCCAGUGAAGGUGAUUCACUACUCACCCCUUAUACCAAGGUUAAAUGAGGUUGUAUGCAUCAAUGAGUUUCGUUCCUCAUAUGAAAUGACAUUACGAACAUAAACAUCUAGAUAGUGUGUUAUGUCAUCUGUCAGAUGGAGAAGCAUGUAAGCAUUUUGAUAGGGUGUUCCCAGACUUUGAUGGUGAACUAAGAAAUAUUACGCUGGAAUUAUAUGCUGAUGGAUUCUUUCCAUUUGCAGUGUAUGGUGCACUAUAUAUUGGCCACUGUUUGUUAUCCCAUAUAAUUUGCCGUCUGAAUUGUGUAUGACAAGUCAAUAUUUGUUUCUAACUUGUAUUGUUCCAGAUCCAUGCGAUCAAAAAUAUUGAUUGAUGUAUACAUGCAACCCCUAAUUGAUGAGUUGAAGUUAUUAUGGCAUGAAGGUGUGGAAACAUAUGAUGUAUCAGCUAAGUAAAAUUUUAAACUUUGUACUGCUUUAAUGUGGACUGUAAAUGAUUUUUCUACUCAUGGAAUGAUGUUCGAGUUGUCAACUGCCAGAAAUUUUGCCUGACUUGUAUGAAAGAUACAAAGUCAUUCAUUUUGAAACAUGGAUGUAUGAACACAUGGUUUGACUAUUAUCGCUGCCGCUUUCCAAUGGAUCAUGAGUUUAGGAGAAAUACUGGUGCAUUUAUGAAGAACAAAACUGAUUAUGAGGAUCCACCACAUGUCUUGUCUCCUGAAGAGAUUUGGAACAGAGUUAGGAUUUACCUAAGGUAACAGAGUAUCCAUUGCCUAAUAAGAUACGGGGGUAAGGUGUAAUACAGAACUGGACAAAACAAAACAUUUCUUGGGAGUUACCUUAUUAGAAGCACAAUCUUCUUCAACAUAAUCUUGAUGUUAUGCAUAUCAAGAAGAACAUUUUUGGUAACUUGUUUAAUACUGUGAUGGAUGUAAGCAACAAGACAAAAGAUAACAUGAAGGCCAGGAUGGAUUUGAAAAAAUAUUCUAGGCGGGCUCAGUUGUACUUGACAUACUGGAACAACAAGAUUCAGAAGCCUAAGACUAGUUAUACAUUCAUUUUGAAUGAAAAAAGAGAGAUUUGUAAUUAGUUUAAUAAUUUGAGGAUUCCUGAUGGGUAUGCAUCAAACUUAUCUAGGUGUGUUGACAUGAAAGAAGGGAAGUUGAUGUCACGACGCAAACCUUGGUCGUGAUGGCGCCCAAUCCUAAAACUAGGCAAUAGCAUCUCUCCGGUCUGGACGGGCAUUGAAGCGAGCCAGGACACCGCCAGUAUGGUCCUCACCCCUGUGGCAACCUCUGGCUACUUGGCCUCCACCCCCAGCUGACUGAGUGGGAGCCGAAGAAACCUGUGCAGAAAAUGGCGGCUGAUCCCUCUACUGAGACUGCCUACUACCGGGUCGAGGACACUGUCUCCUCAUGUGACCCAACUCCCCGCAAUCAUAGCAACAAACUGAAGCUGGAGAAGGGUACUGAUGAGAACCCCUCGCUGCAGACAAACCCUAAGCUGAAGGAGCAGGAGCAGAGCUUUAAACUGGAAGAGCACUUAGUGCAGGCUGACUCUUCUGAUGACCCUGAUGGUCCCGGCCUGAAGAGGCUCUACUGGACUCUGUGCGUUCGGACUGUGGAGGCCUGAAGGAACGACCUCUACCCUGCUGGAAAUGGCCCCUAGAUGGAGCACCGCAAAAAUUACCUGAACCUCGAGGCCUCAUGGCCUCCAUCUCCAUAGGCUCCCGACGGUGAUCUGUCUCAAUCAGUCGAGUCGCAUCAACAACCUCCUCAAAUGUAGCUGCUGUAGCCCUCUCUCUAGUCAUCAAUAUACGGAUCAGAGAGUUGAGGCCAUCUAUAAAACUCUUGAUUCUCUUUCUAUCUAUCGGUGCUGGAACUGGCCCCUAGACGGAGAACCGCUGAAAUUAUCUAAACCUCGGGGCCUCUUAGACUCUCUCUCUCCAUACUCUCCCGAUGGCGAUCUGCCUCAAUCAGUCGAGCCGCAUCAACAACCUCCUCAAAUGUAGCUGCUGUAGCCCUCUCUCUAGUCAUCAAUAUACGGAUCGGAUAGUUGAGGCCAUCUAUAAACCUCCUGAUCCUUUCUCUAUCUGUCGGGAUCAUCCACACAGCAUGCCUAGCAAGCUGUGUAAACCGCAUGAGAUAGUUGAGUCACUGACAUAUCUCCAUGAGUCAACCACUCGAACUUACGAUGCAACUCCUCCCUAUGAGACCAGGGCACAUACUUCUCCAAAAAUACCGUGGAGAACUGCUGCCAAGUGAGGGUUGCUGCCCCAAUAGGCCUACGCCUCUCGAGCUCUUCCCACCAAGUAAAUGCAACUCUUGUGAACUAGAAGGUGGUAAAAGCCACUCCAUUAGACUCCAGAAUAUGCGCAACACUUGAGGGUGGUCUUGUAGAGAUUGAGAGAGGAGAAGCUUUAUGCAAAGUUCUCCAAAUGUGAUUUCUGGUUUAGUACUCUGGCUUUUCUGGACACGUGGUGUCUAGCGAUGGCAUUCAGGUUGACCCAAAGACAAUUGAGGCAGUGCAGAGUUGGCCGAGACCGUCCUCCGCUACUGAGAUUCGGAGUUUCCUUGGUUUGGCGGGUUAUUACCACAGGUUUGUCCAGGGAUUUUCAUCCAUUGCUUCGCCUUUGACAAAGUUGACACAGAAGAAUGCUCCAGUUGUGUGGUCGUAGGAAUGUGAGGAGAUCUUCCAGAAGCUCAAGUCAGCUUUGCCCACAGUACCGGUACUAGUAUUGCCUCAGAUGCAGUUAUCACAGGUAUUAUCUCAGUCCGCCACAUGAAUGCUUCUAUUUUAUUUGAUCCCGGAUCUACCUAUUCAUAUAUGUCUUUCUAUUUUGCUCAUCAUUUGGGUACGACCUGUGGUUGCCUUGCCUUGCUUGUGCACGUAUCUACCCCGGUGGGUGAUACUAUUAUUGUGGAUCAUGUCUAUCGAUCCUGUCUGGUGACUAUUGGGGGUCUGGAGACUCAAGUUGACUUAUUAUUGUUGGGCAUGGUAGAUUUCGACGUGAUUCUGGUAUGGAUUGGCUAUCUCCGUGCCAUGCUAUUUUGGACUGUCAUGCUAAGACAAUUACACUAGCUAUUCCGGGUAUUCCGAGGAUCGAGUGGCGAGGCGUGACUGACUAUGUACCUAGCAGGGUUAUCUCUUUCUUAAAAGCCCAACGGAUAGUUGGAAAGGGGUGUUUAUCAUAUUUGGCUUUCGUGAGAGAUGUGGAAGCCGAGGCUCCUAGUCUUGUUUCGGUUCCCUUUAUUAGGGAUUUCCUUUAUGUGUUUCUAGUGGACUUGCCGGGCAUGCCGCCAAACAGGGACAUUGAUUUUGGUAUUGAUCUGGUACCGGGCACUUAGCCCAUCUUUAUUCCUCCCUAUCAUGUGGCACCAGCAGAGUUAUGUACCUAGCAAGGUGAUUUCUUUCCUAAAAACCCAACAAAUGGUUGGAAAGGGGUGUUUAUCAUAUUUGGAUUUCGUGAGAGAUGUGGAAGCCGAGGCUCCUAGCCUUGGUUCGGUUCCCAUUGUUAGGGAUUUUCCUGACGUAUUUCCAGCGGAACUUGUCGGGCAUGCCGCCGGACAGGUACAUUGAUUUAGGUAUUGAUCUGGUGCCGGGCACUCAGCCUAUCUUUAUUCCUCCCUAUCGUAUGGGACCAGCAAAGUCGAAAAAGUUGAAAUAACAACUUCAGGAACUCCUGGAUAAGGGGUUCAUUCGCCCGACUGUGUCACCUUGGGGUGCGCCUGUAGAUUCGGUUCCCAUUGUUAGGGAUUUCCCUGAUGUGUUUCCAGCGGACUUGCCAGGCAUGCCGUCGGACAGGGACAUUGAUUCGGUAUUGAUCUAGUGCUGGGCACUCAGCCCAUCUCUAUUACUCCCUAUCAUAUGGUGCCAGCAGAGCUAAAGGAGUUGAAAGAACAACUUCAGGAACUCCUAGAUAAGGGGUUCAUUCGCCCGAGUNNNNNNNNNNNNNNNNNNNNNNNNNNNNNNNNNNNNNNNNNNNNNNNNNNNNNNNNNNNNNNNNNNNNNNNNNNNNNNNNNNNNNNNNNNNNNNNNNNNNNNNNNNNNNNNNNNNNNNNNNNNNNNNNNNNNNNNNNNNNNNNNNNNNNNNNNNNNNNNNNNNNNNNNNNNNNNNNNNNNNNNNNNNNNNNNNNNNNNNNNNNAAUAAGGUGACAGUGAAGAACAAGUACCCACUACCCCAUAUUGAGGAUUUAUUUGAUCAGCUCCAGGGAGCAAGGGUAUUCUCUAAGAUUGACCUUUGAUCAGGCUAUCACCAGCUGAAGAUUAGGGAUUCAGAAAUUAUGAAGACAUAGCUUCGGUGAAGGUACAGUGGAGAGGUCGGCCUGUGGAGCAAGCCACUUGGGAUACCGGGCAGGAGAUGCGCAACAAAUAUCCUCACUUGUUUGACACUCCAGGUAUGUUUCUUGACCCGCUCGAGGACGAGCGUUUGUUAAUGUUAGGGAUGAUGUAAUGACCUAACCCGUCGUCCCAUGAGUUACAACCCCAUUUUCCCUGUUUUAUGUUUCUAUAUGUUCCAUUUUAUGUGUUUUGAGAGUUUGGAGUAAUUCGGAUGGAGUUGGGGUAGAAAUGAGACAAUUAGUCUCUUUAUGAGAAGGUUAGUUUGGAAAAGUCAACUGAAUAUUGACUUAUGAGUUAGAGGGAUCGUAAUGGAUUUUUGAUGUUUCGACUAGUGUCGGAUGGUCAUUCUUAACUUAGGGGCGAAAUCAAAACUGAAUUUGGAGGUCCGAUGUAGAAUUAGGCUUGAAUUAGCUAAGUUAGAAUUUUGGCGAACUCCGGUUGAUAGGUGAGAUUUUGAUCCGAGGGUCGGAAUGAAAUUCCGAUAGUUGCAGUAGGUCCGUAAGGUGAUUUUUGAAAUGUGUGCAAAUUUCAGAUCAUUCAGAGGUGUUUAGUUCGGGUUUUGACUCAAAUGCAAGUUUCGGAAGUUUUAGUUUAUCUUAGGCUUGAAUCCGUGGUAAAUUGAUAAUUUUGUUGUUUAUGAUAGUGUUUUUUGAGUGAAGUAAUCGAACAUAUCUGUGCUUUUGGUUGAAGUUUAAUAGUGCAGUAGAAAAUUGCAGCAGACUUUUGUUCUAUGCGAUCGCAUGAGCAUCGUUGCGAUCGCAUAUAGGAAUGAAGGGGGGCUCAAAGUUUGGUCUAUGUGAUCCCGUAAAGGGUGAUGCGAUCACAUAGGCUUGAGUGCGAUCACAUAAGAGGAACUGAGGGGUCUGGACUUUGGUCUAUGCGAUCGCAUAGGCUUGAGUGCAAUAGCAUAAGAUGAAAUUAAGGUUGUCAGAAAUUGUUCUAUGUGAUCGCAAUAGGAGUGAUGCGAUCACAUAGAGGAAAUCACUGGUCAGACAUAAUGUUUUAAGGGUUUUUUCACCCACAACUUAAACAUAUGUUCCUCCAUUGUUAAAUAACCAAAGGAGCUUUUUGAGCGAUUUGAAAUGUGCUUUCAGCGGGCAUUGAUUGGAGGUAAGUAUCUUGACUUAAAAACACCAUUUUUAGGAAGAAUCAAUCUUCAAUUCCAUGAAUUGUGAAGAACUAGGGCUUAGUUUUUAAAAACAAAUUUUGGGGAUUUUAAGGGUCAUUCGAGCUCCGUUUUCGACAAACUUUAUAUGAACGGACUCGUGGCGAGACGAGGAACCCAAAGAUGUGAUUUUCAGAAUUUUUUGAGAAGUGGGCCCGAGGCUCGGGUUUUACCAACUUCGUGAUUUUUAGCAUUUUUCAAGUAAUUUCAAUUGGGUUAUGUUUAUUUAGUCUAUAAUAAUGUAUUUAUUGUGGUUUUGACUAGAUUCGAUGCUCGUAGAGGGAGAUUUGAAGGGAAAAGGCAUUGCAGACGAGUCUACGACCGGUAAGAGGUGAGUAGUUUGUAUAGAUGAUGGCCUGAGGGUUUGAAACCCCAGUUUAUCACAUCGUGACGAUAUGUGAGGGCAUGACUCGCACCCCAUGGUAGGAGCAUGAUUGCAUAUGAUUUGGGAUUGUGACUUGGUCCAUCCCGAGAGCUAAAUAAUAUUAUUGUCGGCUGAUAUGCACCCUAUAAUGAAUAUUUCUGGGCUUAUUGCCAUGUUUGGGGUCUUGUGCCGACCUGUAGCAUCCAUUUAUGAUGAAUAUCUGUGUGAUAACAUGAUUUUCAUAAUCAUUUAUCUCAGUCCUGUUCUUUAAUCACUGUAUUAAGUGCUAUGUCACCUUAUUUCUGAAAUUGACUAAUUGAAUUAUAUUCACCUUAAUAAUUGAAAACUUGCAAAGAAUUAGAUUGAAUCUGUCAUGUGACUUACAUGCAUACUGUGGACUGGCUAUUGGGUCGGGCUGCACGCCGCAGCGGUGAUAUGAUGAUAUUGCUCUUGGGCUGAAGGAGCCCCUCCGGAGUCUGUACACACCCCCAGUAAGCGCCGUCGACGUUAAACGGAUCGGGCUGCACGCCGCAGCGUAUUCAUGUGCACUGCAUUGCAUCAUUAUCUGAUACUUGACCUUUAUAUUUGAUAUUGCUUUGCUGUUAGUUCGUAGUUAAGGUAUAGGACUGUUAGUUUUAGCUUUGCUUUAUGGCAUUUCGUGGAUUCUUAGUUUUAGACAUUAUAUAUGCUUAUUACUCACUGAGUCGGUAGUACUCACCCCUACUCCCUGCACCUUGUGUGCAGAUUCAGGUACAUCGGAGGCUUAGCUGACACUCGUAGUCUCCAAAUAUUUUUCAGAGUCGUUGAGGUAGUUGCUUGACAUUUGCAGGACCUUGUUGCUCUUCAUAUUCCAGUUUAUCAUUAUUAUAUACAUCUUCCAGAUUCUAUUAUAUUUUCAUUCAGAUAUUAUUAUCAAGUUUUGUUUAGAGGCUCUAGACUCGUGACCCUAGAUCUUAUGGGUGUUUAUCG